GAAGGUAGUAAGGGCAUGCAGUGGAUGCCUAGGCGGCGAGAGGCGAAGAAGGGCGUGGCAAGCUGCGAAAAGCCCGGGGGAGCUGCAAGCGAGCGUUGAUCCCGGGAUACCCGAAUGGGGCAACCUGUGCACGUGAAAGCGUGCACGCCGAGAGGCGCGAGACCCGGGGAAGUGAAACAUCUCAGUACCCGGAGGAAAAGAAAUCAAACGAGAUUCCCUGAGUAGAGGCGAUCGAAAGGGGAGGAGCCUAAACCAGCCGAAAGGCUGGGGUUGUGGGACACAGUUAGGCUGAGUCCGCUCCGUAAUCACUCAUAGCUGAACAGUCUGGGAAGGCUGACCGAAGAGGGUGACAGUCCCGUAGGCGAAAUGAGUGAUGAAGGAGUGACUGUGAUCCCGAGUAGCGCGGGACUCGAGGAAUCCCGCGUGAAUCAGGGGGGACCACCCUCCAAGGCUAAAUACUCCUCGCCGACCGAUAGCGCAACCAGUACCGUGAGGGAAAGGUGAAAAGCCCCCCGGAAGGGGAGUGAAAGAGACCUGAAACUGCAUGCCUACAAGAAGUCGGAGCCCGCGAGGGUGACGAUGUGCCUUUUGAUUAAUGAGCCUGGGAGUUAUCGCUGCUGGCGAGGUUAAGCCGAUAAAGGCGGAGCCGGAGCGAAAGCGAGUCCGAAUAGGGCGCGAGUCAGUAGCGAUAGACCCGAAGCCGGGUGAGCUACCCAUGGGCAGGAUGAAGGUGGGGUAAAACCCACUGGAGGUCCGAACCGGUGGAUCGUGAAAAAUCCUCGGAUGACCUGUGGGUAGGAGUGAAAAGCUAACCGAACUCGGUGAUAGCUGGUUCUCCCCGAAAUGCAUUGAGGUGCAGCCUCAGGAGUUCUGUGGUGGAGGUAGAGCGCUGGUAGGGCUAGUGGGGUAACCUGCGAACCCUGUCAAACUCCGAAUGCCGCCACACGAGAUCCUGGGAGUGAGCCCGUGAGGGAUAAGCUUCACGGACGAGAGGGGAACAACCCAGACCGUCGGCUAAGGGCCCGAUAGUGUUAACUUGUAGUGAUGAAAGAGUGUAAUUGUGAAAGAAUGCGUAACAUUAUCAAGGGCCCGGAGAGGUGGCUAAGUGUGAAGAGGAAGGAUGUGGUGUGGCCCAGACAACCGGGAUGUUGGCUUAGAAGCAGCCAUCAUUUAAAGAGUGCGUAACAGCUCACCGGUCGAGCCGCACUGCGCCGAAAAUGUGCGGGGCUGAAGCCACCCCCCGAAGCCACGGAAUCUACCGUUAGGUAGAUUGGUAGGGGAGCGUUCCGCGGUAGGGAGAAGGUAGACUCGAGAGAGCUACUGGACGAAGCGGAAGUGAGAAUCCAGGCAUGAGUAUACGAGAGGAUGGUGAGAAUCCAUCCCCCCGAAAGCCUAAGGGUACCUGGGGAAGGGUCGUCCGCCCAGGGUAAGUCGGGACCUAAGGAAAACCCGAAAGGGGUAUCCGAUGGGAAACCGGUUAAUAUUCCGGUACCACCGGCUAACCGAUACUGCAAGCGGGGACGCAGGAGGCUAAGCUCCGGGGAUAAGUGGCAAAUCCCUCCAAGCGGUUAGGCGAAGAGGGCUGUAGGUAAGUCCGCAGCCUGAGCUGAGCCGUGAAGGGGAGACUCCGAAAGGGGUCAACGGAGCUGACGCCACACUGCCAAGAAAAGCCGCGUGUAGUGGUUAGCAGGUGCCCGUUCCGCAAACCGACACAGGUAGGCGGGCUGAAAAAGCUAAGGGGAGCGGGAUAACCCUUGCCAAGGAACUCGGCAAAUUGACCCCGUAACUUCGGGAGAAGGGGUGCCACGGUAGGUUGAAGUCAGGGGAAGCCGCGAGGUGGAAACUGACGGAGGCCGAGGUGGUCGCAGAGAAAUGGCCCUGGCGACUGUUUACCAAAAACACAGGUCUCUGCCAACUCGAUGAGAGGAAGUAUAGGGACUGACGCCUGCCCGGUGCCGGAAGGUUAAGGGGAGGGGUGCAAGCUCCGAACCGAAGCCCCGGUAAACGGCGGCCGUAACUAUAACGGUCCUAAGGUAGCGAAAUUCCUUGUCGGGUAAGUUCCGACCUGCAUGAAUGGCGUAACGACUGGGGCACUGUCUCGGCAGGGGACCCGGUGAAAUUUCAGUCUGGGUGAAGAUGCCCAGUACCCGCAGCUAGACGGAAAGACCCCGUGGAGCUUUACUGUAACCUGGUAUUGUGCUCUGUUGCGGCGUGUACAGGAUAGGUGGGAGGCGAAGAAGCGUGCUCGCCAGGGCACGUGGAGCCGGCGGUGGGAUACCACCCUCGUUGCAGCGGAGUUCUAACCUACGCAUGUGGAGAGCAUGCGAGGGACAGUGCCAGGUGGGCAGUUUGACUGGGGCGGUCGCCUCCUAAAGAGUAACGGAGGCGCGCAAAGCUCGGCUCAGGUGGGUUGGAAAUCCACCGUUGAGUGCAAGGGCAAAAGCCGGGCUGACUGCGAGACCGACGGGUCGAGCAGAGGGGAAACCCGGUCCUAGUGACCCGGCGACUCCGAGUGGAAGGGUCGUCGAUCAACGGACAAAAGUUACCCCGGGGAUAACAGGCUAGUCUAGCCCGAGAGUUCACAUCGACGGCUAGGCUCGGCACCUCGAUGUCGGCUCAUCCCAUCCUGGGGCUGAAGCAGGUCCCAAGGGUUAGGCUGUUCGCCUAUUAAAGGGGUACGUGAGCUGGGUUCAGACCGUCGUGAGACAGGUCGGUCCCUAUCUGCUGCGGGCGUAGGAGGCUUGAGGAGGGUCGCCCUUUGUACGAGAGGACCAGGGUGAGGGAGCCACUGGUGUACCAGCUGUACUGCCAAGUGCAUACGCUGGGUAGCUACGCUCCUGAGCGAUAACCGCUGAAAGCAUCUAAGCGGGAAGCGCGCUCCGAGAUGAGGCCUCCAUAAGGCCGGUCCGAGAAGAGGACCUAGAUAGGCUGGUGGUGGAAGCGCCGAGAGGCGUGGAGCCAACCGGUACUAAUAGGCCGAAACCUUCA
Molecule: ribosomal RNA, 2988 nt
Filed under: Fervidobacterium nodosum
Lineage: Bacteria; Thermotogati; Thermotogota; Thermotogae; Thermotogales; Fervidobacteriaceae
Description: 23S ribosomal RNA
Rfam family: Bacterial large subunit ribosomal RNA
Source: RNAcentral